Hypanus sabinus (Atlantic stingray) is the source of this 1304-nucleotide long non-coding RNA. RefSeq lists it as uncharacterized. The record is from RefSeq and is a predicted model, not a curated record. The transcript has 3 exons. Lineage: Eukaryota; Metazoa; Chordata; Chondrichthyes; Myliobatiformes; Dasyatidae.
UGUUACCUUUUUGCCAGGAGGAACAAGAUUUUGGUUUGCUUUCAGUAUGUGGGUAAGUGCUUUCUUAACGUUCUUCUCUUUCAUACUUUGUAAAACCAUGGGAGGGAGGAAAGUGUCAAGGCCCCAUUCUUUCCUGGAAGAGAACUGCAUGUCAGACAGAGGGCAAGAUUCGUUAUUUCUAAGUUAUCUCAUUAUUAAUGUGUCAAGUUAUAGAAAUGAGGAGAUUCCAAGAUGGCCUUGGGAUCCAUGUCUAUUGUAAAAUGUUGUUCUUGCUUACUGCAGAAAUAAUCCAAACACCAACAAAGAGAGAAAAAUAGCACAGGUUUUGGAAAUCUGAAAGCAAAAAUAGAAAGACUCAUCAGAUGCUGCGUGACCUGUGAAAUGUUUCUGGUAGAUUCUGUUUUCAUUAUCACCUAACAAGAACUGUGUGGAUAAUGUGUCAUUGGUCCAACAGUCUGGAAGAUUUUCAUCAGACCAAAUCAAAAUGAAGACAACAGAGCAUUCGAGGCAAAUCAGGGAAAUGAUAGAGAAGCACAAAUCUAGGGAAGGGCACAAGACCUUAUCAAAGGCACUGAACAUACCUCAGAGCUCAGUGCAGCCCAUUGUGAAAGAGUGGAAAAAGUAUGAAACCACAGCCUCUCUGCCUAGGUCAGGUCUUGUUUCUAAACUUAGCCACUAGAGAGGAAUGGCACCUGUAAAAGGCUACUGUGAUUUCAACAGUCACUCCCAGUAAGCUGCAAGUCAGUGGAUGAAACUAGAGAUGGAGAUGGAGAUUUUCAUGCUUUACAAUCUUCCUUGUUUUUUUGAGUUUUACUGUGAAGAAUGUUGCAUGUGAUUCACAAACCAAAAUUCUCAGUUAAAUUGAUCAAAAUCCCUGGUCGUAACACUCAUUUAUGUGAAUACUGCAUUGUUUACAGAGUAAUGCUGUUUUGUUCGACUUUAUUCAAGGAUAUUCAUUACGGUUGAAUGUCAGUUGAAUUUGAAGAAAGGGUUGGAGGCUGAAUACUUUUACAACACACUGUAUUCUGCUAGUGAAUUCAGUUCUAUGGUGGAGUGAACAGAGCAUUCAGACCCGUGAACCAAUCAUCUCUUUCAUUCACCUUUCUGCCACAUGCUCCUCACUCUACCUCCUCGCUUAUUCUGUUAUUGUCAGUCGACUGAUGACAUUACAUUCUUUACAUGUGUCAAUCAUUGUAUUUAUUGCUGCAUUCAUUAUUACCAUUUAUACUGUUUACUCCCUGUUACCAGCUGUACUGUGAUCUCGUGCAAACAAUGAAUUUCAUUGUACCCUAGUGCAUAUGGCA